This 482-nucleotide ribosomal RNA is filed under the name uncultured bacterium. RNAcentral describes it as "partial 16S ribosomal RNA". It matches the Rfam family "Bacterial small subunit ribosomal RNA", at positions 28 to 506 of the family's 1533-position model. The record is from RNAcentral.
GACGAACGCUGGCGGCGUGCUUAACACAUGCAAGUCGAACGCUGAAGCUCAGCUUUUGUUGGGUGGAUGAGUGGCGAACGGGUGAGUAACACGUGAGUAACCUGCCCCCUUCUUUGGGAUAACGCCCGGAAACGGGUGCUAAUACUGGAUAUUCACUGGUCUUCGCAUGGGGGUUGGUGGAAAGGGUUUUUCUGGUGGGGGAUGGGCUCGCGGCCUAUCAGCUUGUUGGUGGGGUGAUGGCCUACCAAGGCUUUGACGGGUAGCCGGCCUGAGAGGGUGACCGGUCACAUUGGGGCUGGGAUACGGCCCAGACUCCUACGGGAGGCAGCAGUGGGGAAGAUUGCACAAUGGGCGCAAGCCUGAAGCAGCGACGCCGCGUGAGGGAUGGAGGCCUUCGGGUUGUGAACCUCUUUCGCUCAUGGUCAAGCCGCAACAAUGGUUGUGGGGAGGGUAGUGGGUAAAGAAGCGCCGGCUAACUACGU